GUGGGUGGACUCGCUCUCGCCACACGAGCAGCUCCACCACCUCAACCAGAAGCUGCAAGAGACGAAGCAGAAGGAGGACCACCGCUUUGCCCACAAGUUGCGCAUGAGGCUCUGGGUGAUGUCAGACGCCACACACGGGGUCAGGGUGGAUGCGUGCGAGGAGCUGCUGGAGGAUGUGGGGCUGUCUCCCUCCCUCCUGCGGCCCCUUCCCUCGCCCUCCUCGGGGUGGGGGGCACGGGGGUGCCGAGACCACCGGGAGGGAGAGGCGGG
This is a long non-coding RNA of Lethenteron reissneri (Far Eastern brook lamprey), 270 nucleotides long. RefSeq lists it as uncharacterized. Lineage: Eukaryota; Metazoa; Chordata; Hyperoartia; Petromyzontiformes; Petromyzontidae. The record is from RefSeq and is a predicted model, not a curated record.